AUGGCAUCUGUGACUCUCAUAGUUCUUGUGAACCCCACCCUAUACAAGCCGGGCAUACGGUGUUAUGCACUCUAUGUAUGCAUGGUGGUGGGCAUGUUUAGCCUCAUGGGAGCCUAUGCUGCUGGAAGCUCCCGACAUGUACGAACCUCCAUCUAUGUGUUAACUUUAGUUGCUGCGGUAUUCACCUUUCUCACCGUUCAGGUGGUUAUUUUAUGGAUACCAAAAAACUGGAGCAAUAAGCAGUCAUCUACCUACUCUGGUACAGUACAUGGGUCCUCUGAGCAAGAAAGCAUCAUCAGUGAGUCUUCUGAACUGGUAGCCCAUGACACAGGAACAGAAAAAAAGGACCUUCGUGAGUACUUGGCUGCAAGUGUAACAUACCAGACUGGUCUAAAACCACCAGGUGGUCUCUGGCAGGACAACAACAACAACGGACAUACUGGAGGCAACUCAAUCCUCCAUGACAUCGACAAAGGCCGUUACCGUGCUUUCUUCUAUAGCAACUCCACUUCAUUUAUGGCUUCUAUUGUCGUCAUUGUCUUGCUACUUCCACGGAACAGCAACAAUUGGCCACUGUGGCCAAUGCAUACUGCCAUUUUGCUAGACAUGGUAGGCCUCCUUGGGGCCUACGCAGCGGGCAGUACAAGAGAGUGGGAGAUGUCAAGGAAUGUCAUUGCUCUGGUCAUUCCUGUGCUGAUCUAUAUUGCAGCCAUACGCAGCAGUAUCAUUGUUCCGCAACAAGGGCCGAUGUGGCAGCGGAAAUUCUCAUGA
This 771-nucleotide ribosomal RNA is filed under the name Triticum aestivum (bread wheat). Its description in RNAcentral is "partial small subunit ribosomal RNA". Lineage: Eukaryota; Viridiplantae; Streptophyta; Magnoliopsida; Poales; Poaceae. The record is from RNAcentral.